GAGUUUGAUCCUGGCUCAGAUUGAACGCUGGCGGCAGGCCUAACACAUGCAAGUCGAGCGGAUGACGGGAGCUUGCUCCUUGAUUCAGCGGCGGACGGGUGAGUAAUGCCUAGGAAUCUGCCUGGUAGUGGGGGACAACGUUUCGAAAGGAACGCUAAUACCGCAUACGUCCUACGGGAGAAAGCAGGGGACCUUCGGGCCUUGCGCUAUCAGAUGAGCCUAGGUCGGAUUAGCUAGUUGGUGGGGUAAUGGCUCACCAAGGCGACGAUCCGUAACUGGUCUGAGAGGAUGAUCAGUCACACUGGAACUGAGACACGGUCCAGACUCCUACGGGAGGCAGCAGUGGGGAAUUUUGGACAAUGGGGGCAACCCGUGAUCCAGCCAUGCCGCGUGAGUGAAGAAGGCC
This 406-nucleotide ribosomal RNA is filed under the name bacterium enrichment culture clone ALO1_GLFRUDD03FTWBF. Its description in RNAcentral is "bacterial SSU rRNA". It matches the Rfam family "Bacterial small subunit ribosomal RNA", at positions 9 to 416 of the family's 1533-position model. The record is from RNAcentral.